Molecule: ribosomal RNA, 473 nt
Filed under: Xanthomonas sp. oral taxon 037
Lineage: Bacteria; Pseudomonadati; Pseudomonadota; Gammaproteobacteria; Lysobacterales; Lysobacteraceae
Description: bacterial SSU rRNA
Rfam family: Bacterial small subunit ribosomal RNA
Source: RNAcentral
UGAACGCUGGCGGUAGGCCUAACACAUGCAAGUCGAACGGCAGCACAGGAGAGCUUGCUCUCUGGGUGGCGAGUGGCGGACGGGUGAGGAAUGCAUCGGAAUCUACUCUUUCGUGGGGGAUAACGUAGGGAAACUUACGCUAAUACCGCAUACGACCUACGGGUGAAAGCCGGGGACCUUCGGGCCUGGCGCGAAAGAAUGAGCCGAUGCCCGAUUAGCUAGUUGGCGGGGUAAGAGCCCACCAAGGCGACGAUCGGUAGCUGGUCUGAGAGGAUGAUCAGCCACACUGGAACUGAGACACGGUCCAGACUCCUACGGGAGGCAGCAGUGGGGAAUAUUGGACAAUGGGCGCAAGCCUGAUCCAGCCAUACCGCGUGGGUGAAGAAGGCCUUCGGGUUGUAAAGCCCUUUUGUUGGGAAAGAAAAGCAGUCGGUUAAUACCCGAUUGUUCUGACGUACCCAAAGAUAGCACCG